RNAcentral lists this ribosomal RNA (432 nucleotides) under uncultured bacterium. RNAcentral's name for it is "partial 16S ribosomal RNA". It matches the Rfam family "Bacterial small subunit ribosomal RNA", at positions 29 to 506 of the family's 1533-position model. The record is from RNAcentral.
AACGAACGCUGGCGGCAUGCCUAACACAUGCAAGUCGAACGAGACCUUCGGGUCUAGUGGCGCACGGGUGCGUAACGCGUGGGAACCUGCCCUUAGGUUCGGAAUAACUCCCCGAAAGGGGUGCUAAUACCGGAUAAUGUCUUCGGGCCAAAGAUUUAUCGCCUUUGGAUGGGCCCGCGUUGGAUUAGCUAGUUGGUAGGGUAAAAGCCUACCAAGGCGACGAUCCAUAGCUGGUCUGAGAGGAUGAUCAGCCACACUGGGACUGAGACACGGCCCAGACUCCUACGGGAGGCAGCAGUGGGGAAUAUUGGACAAUGGGCGAAAGCCUGAUCCAGCAAUGCCGCGUGAGUGAUGAAGGCCUUAGGGUUGUAAAGCUCUUUUACCCGGGAUGAUAAGGACAGGACCGGGAGAAUAAGCUCCGGCUAACUCCGG